ACCGUCUUCCUCCCCUUCCCUCUCUGGACCCUCUGCUUGCUCUGUGAACCUGGAUUGAUCUCCACUCACCCGUCACUCCUGAAUGGGGCCCUCGAAGGGAGACACCCCUGACUGUGCUGAUGUUGUGAACGCUGCUGGGCCAGACUGGUGUCUGCAGGAGGACAAAGCAAGGGCUGGUUCUGACUUUGGUUUGAAGGCAGGGAUGAAAAGCCACCAAGACGGCUUUUGUGAAAAUCUGGAAGGACAAGAAAAGCCCACUUAAGUCAUCAGAUCUCAUUUCAUCUAUUGUUAACCUUGAGGAGUGGUGAGCCCGCUGUUCCUGCCAAGCUCUUCAAUACCC
Molecule: long non-coding RNA, 340 nt
Filed under: Homo sapiens (human)
Lineage: Eukaryota; Metazoa; Chordata; Mammalia; Primates; Hominidae
Description: HSALNT0059668
Source: RNAcentral